Molecule: ribosomal RNA, 252 nt
Filed under: uncultured bacterium
Lineage: Bacteria
Description: partial 16S ribosomal RNA
Rfam family: Bacterial small subunit ribosomal RNA
Source: RNAcentral
UACGUAGGUGGCGAGCGUUAUCCGGAAUGAUUGGGCGUAAAGGGUGCGUAGGCGGCCUGCUAAGUCUGGAGUGAAAGGUACCGGCUCAACCGGUACAGGCUCUGGAAACUGGCGGGCUAGAGAGCAGGAGAGGGCGGUGGAACUCCAUGUGUAGCGGUAAAAUGCGUAGAUAUUAGGAGGAACACCAGUUGCGAAGGCGACUCUCUGGCCUGUAACUGACACUGAGGCUCGAAAGCGUGGGGAGCAAACAGG